RNAcentral lists this long non-coding RNA (331 nucleotides) under Nicotiana benthamiana. RNAcentral describes it as "long non-coding RNA (NBEN_LNC026002)". The record is from RNAcentral. Lineage: Eukaryota; Viridiplantae; Streptophyta; Magnoliopsida; Solanales; Solanaceae.
CAUAUCCUUAAUUAAACAGAAAGCAUCAUCUAACCUCCCUGCUCGCCCAAGUAAGUCAACCAUGCAAGCAUAAUGUUCAGAUGAAGGAUUGAUAGAAUACUUUUUGGUCAUGUGCUCAAAUAAAUUUGCACCAGCAUCACUUAAGCCAGCAUGCUUACAUGCAGAUAAAACACUAACAAACGUCACUUCAUCAGGAACCACUUCCGCUCAAACAAAUUUGCACCAGUAUCACUUAAGCAAGCAUGCUUACAUGCAGAUAAAACACUAACAAAUGUCACUUCAUCAGGAACCACUUCCGUUUCUUCCAUCCCUUUGAAAAGUUUGACAGCCU